Molecule: long non-coding RNA, 2410 nt
Filed under: Gossypium barbadense (sea-island cotton)
Lineage: Eukaryota; Viridiplantae; Streptophyta; Magnoliopsida; Malvales; Malvaceae
Description: long non-coding RNA (GBAR_LNC021749)
Source: RNAcentral
AAUAAUAAAUUUUGAACAGAAUUACACUUUAUUUUUGCAAAGUAAAAAAAUGAAAUUGAUUAAAAUAAUAAAAAUAAUCGUCAAAAUUGUAUAAAAUUUUAAAUUUCGUCUAGAAUGUAAAAUUAUAUAAGAAUUAUAUCAUAUGUUUCAGGAUCUAUAUAUUAUUGAGAUUGUGAAAUUAUCAUGUAACACCUCAAACCCAACUUAGAUGUUAUGGUCAGAUCUUGAAAGUUACAAUACCCACUUAAAAACAACAAAUUAUUUGCUUUCAAAAACAUUGUAUAUUAUCGUGUUGAUAAUUUUGCAGAAAACACGUUUCAGUUCAUUCCUAGAAAACUUAAUCGUUGCCAAAUAAGUGUUUAAACAAAAGAACAUUCACCAAUAACAACCAAUUUAAACAUGCAUAUUAAUUUUACUUAUUUUAUCUUUUUGAAAUCCCAAUAGCUUAUUUUGCUUUGCAGUGGAAAAAUCCAUAACUUAUUUUAUUUUGAAAAUCAAACAUUUAACUUUGAUUAGCAGAAAUCAGACAAAUUAUUUAAAUGAUUUAACUAAUAUCCUGCAGAAAACUAAAAACCGAAAAUAAAGUCCCAAAAUUAGUUCAAAGGUUCAAAAGUCUAGAAAAUUUAAUUACUAAUUAAAUUAAACCAUCUUAUGUGAGAAAAACCCAAUCCAAGCUGUCGAGACGCUGCUGAUCCCUAAUUUUGCAGAUUACUUGAAGAGAUAAAGUAAAUGAGUGAGCUAUGAAGUUCAGUGUGCGAUUUAACUCAAGCAUAAGUACAGAUAAUGUAAUAACCAUAUUAGAAUAUCAUAGAGAAUUUUAUAAUGAUUAAUUGAGCAAAAUUGAGAAUGCAUGAUUAUGUCAAUGCAGUAUUUUUCAAAAAAAAAUAUAAUGCAGAUUUUUCAAAAAUUUCCUACCCAACUCCGCUACACACCAAAUAGAGUUCCCCAAUACUCAUCCAUCCAAAACACACCAACAGAUAAUUGUGGUCAAUGCCAUCAGAGUCGUAGAUAAACUGCCAAAACAAAUAUAUAUGGUUAAACUACUAGAUAGUGCAGGUCAUUAAACUACCAGAACUUCCUUCUUACUAUAUCAUUCGCACCCCAUACAAUGUGACAUGGCACGCAAAUACAGAAUUAGAACAGUUAGCAAGUUGAUCAUGCAACCUUAUAAUAAACAGAAAUCAAUAGACAUAAAACUCCAUACUUUACAAAACAAAAGAAUCAAAUUCAAUAAUCACAAAUCAAUUUCGCCAUAAUGUCACAUGCUACUAAUACUAUCAAAUAUACAGAUCACAUAUAUAUACAAUUUAUUCAGAAAAUAUACACACAUAACAGAACAAAAGAUUACAUUGAUCGAUCCAUCAUAAAUAUCAUUCGUCAGAGUCUAUGUAAUCAUUAACCUCAAAUAUGCAAUCCAAAACUCAACCCUAAUUAAACUUAUUCAAAAUGGGCCCACAUGCCCGUGUGGCCUACACACCCUACCUGGCACAGCCCGUGUGGGCCACAUAGUCGAACACAUGCCCGUUUGGCUUACACGGCUUGCCACACGACUAGAAACACGAUCGUGUAGCAUCGACAAUUUCGGUUUUUCACUGUUUUACAAAAUUUUAAGUUAGCGCCACACACCUGAAUACUUUCGGGAUGUCGACAGAACAUCAACAUACCAAAAUUUGCCCAUAUGGCAUCCACAAUUAAUCAAGUAAUGAUCACUUAAAAAGAUUCAACCCUAACUUCCCUAGCAUUCGACGAAUAGCAAUAAGGCACUCGACCCUUUGUGAGCUAAAUUUUCGCAACCAGCCCCUAAACUUGGGCGUUAGAAACUUACCCUAGAAAAGAAGAUUAUCGAAUUCAACUCAUUGGAGGAAUAUGCAUCACACAACCUUUACCUAAACAGAAUUACACGAAAGAAAACGAUCAAAAUCUCCAUAACUGAACUCAACCAUCUAUCACAGCCUUCUUAGAAAAACCAAAAUAUAAUAGCACCCUAAACGAAUAAUGCUUUAUAAAAGAAAAGAAAAAACGACGAUCAUACCAACUCUCUUAUCUCACACGACCAGCAACAAAUCCAGAAGAAGCGACGACACCAGUCAGAAGAGUAACAAAAUAGAAGACAAAAGGAGCGACAAAAGAAAAAUCAAAGGGACUAAUGUGAAGAAUACAAAGAAAAAUGUGAGAGAGAUGAAGAAGUAAAAAGAAAAUUCCCAGUAACCAAAGAGAAAAACAGACGUGCAAGCAAAAUGGAGAAAGUGGAAAAUGGGGAGUUGGGAAAGUGAGGAAUGGCAAAAACAAAGGGUAAGCUAAGGCCUUACUAUUGAACUAGUAAGCUUAUUCUUGCCAGCAAAUUAACAAAAAUUAAAGAUAACCCUUACGAACCAAAUCAGGUAUGGAAUCAAAAUUAAUAAAGAAUUUU